Molecule: long non-coding RNA, 490 nt
Filed under: Cricetulus griseus (Chinese hamster)
Lineage: Eukaryota; Metazoa; Chordata; Mammalia; Rodentia; Cricetidae
Description: lncRNA (ENSCGRG00015043339.1)
Source: RNAcentral
GGAGCUAGGACUUAGAGCUGAGUGAGCAUCAGGGAGAGAGGGAGGGACAGAGAGAGAGAGAGAGAGAGAGAGAGAGAGAGAGAGAGAGAGAGAGAGAUUGGCUGCUGGUGCUGGAUAACCCUGCUUGCCAGCUGCCUCAGUCAACAACUUCCUGAGCUGCUUUUUCUUUUACAAAAGGAUGUCAGCUCUGAGAGCCAGCGAGAAAUAACAGACUUCACCUUGGAACAGCUCAACACUCGUGCAGCAUUAAAGCAGAUCUGAAGAAAAACACAAAAAUCAAGCACUCAGCCAGCCCCUCUUCAUGACUACAUUGCAGAGAGAACAGUUUCAUGCUCCAGGCAAAUGGAUUGAACUAAUAGAAACCAUCCUGAGUGAGUUCACCCAAUCAUGAAAAGAUAAACAUGAAAGGGCCUGACCUCCCAUGGGUGUCAACGAAGCGUGGCGUGUCAAGCUGAGGAGAAUGGAACACUGAGCUCAUCAAUACAUCUUG